GAAUUUCGAACAGCGGUAUACUAUUGUUGCCUUUAUUCAUGUGUUCAAAUUCGAUGCUAUAUCAGGAUUCAAUAAUUUUCGGGUACCAAUGGUAUAUCAAUUUGUAAAAGAGGGACCAAACAUAACAGAGGGACAGUCAAACUCAUAGACUGAAAAUAUACUGACACCGCCAUGGCUAACAAUAAAAAGACAAACAGAUAAAUAAUAGUAAUAAGAAAAAAAACAUAGAAAAAUAAAGACUCACCAACACGAACC
This 255-nucleotide long non-coding RNA is filed under the name Mytilus galloprovincialis (Mediterranean mussel). Lineage: Eukaryota; Metazoa; Mollusca; Bivalvia; Mytilida; Mytilidae. The record is from RNAcentral.